RNAcentral lists this ribosomal RNA (425 nucleotides) under uncultured bacterium. RNAcentral describes it as "partial 16S ribosomal RNA". It matches the Rfam family "Bacterial small subunit ribosomal RNA", at positions 354 to 796 of the family's 1533-position model. The record is from RNAcentral.
GUGGGGAAUCUUAGACAAUGGGGGAAACCCUGAUCUAGCCAUGCCGCGUGAUCGAUGAAGGCCUUAGGGUUGUAAAGAUCUUUCGCUGGGGAAGAUAAUGACUGUACCCAGUAAAGAAGCCCCGGCUAACUCCGUGCCAGCAGCCGCGGUAAUACGGAGGGGGCUAGCGUUAUUCGGAAUUACUGGGCGUAAAGCGCACGUAGGCGGACUGGAAAGUUGGGGGUGAAAUCCCGGGGCUCAACCUCGGAACUGCCUUCAAAACUCCCAGUCUUGAGUUCGAGAGAGGUGAGUGGAAUUCCGAGUGUAGAGGUGAAAUUCGUAGAUAUUCGGAGGAACACCAGUGGCGAAGGCGGCUCACUGGCUCGAUACUGACGCUGAGGUGCGAAAGCGUGGGGAGCAAACAGGAUUAGAUACCCCUGUAGUCC